This 25-nucleotide non-coding RNA is filed under the name Cricetulus griseus (Chinese hamster). Lineage: Eukaryota; Metazoa; Chordata; Mammalia; Rodentia; Cricetidae. The record is from RNAcentral.
AGGCAGAACACUGUAGAUCCUAUAA